This 90-nucleotide transfer RNA is filed under the name Pyronema domesticum. Its description in RNAcentral is "tRNA-Ile". It matches the Rfam family "tRNA". Rfam says of the family: Transfer RNA (tRNA) molecules are approximately 80 nucleotides in length. The record is from RNAcentral. Lineage: Eukaryota; Fungi; Ascomycota; Pezizomycetes; Pezizales; Pyronemataceae.
GGUCGCUUAGCUCAGUUGGUUAGAGCGUGGUGCUAAUAAGAAAACCCCUUGAUAACGCCAAGGUCGCAGGUUCGACCCCUGCAGUGAUCA